This 231-nucleotide ribosomal RNA is filed under the name uncultured bacterium. RNAcentral's name for it is "partial 16S ribosomal RNA". It matches the Rfam family "Bacterial small subunit ribosomal RNA", at positions 524 to 754 of the family's 1533-position model. The record is from RNAcentral.
UACAGAGGUCCCAAGCGUUGUUCGGAUUCACUGGGCGUAAAGGGUGCGUAGGUGGCCAGGUAAGUUUGGUGUGAAAGCUCGGAGCUUAACUCCGAAAAGUCAUUGAAUACUAUCUGGCUGAAGGGUCGGAGGGGAGACUGGAAUUCUCGGUGUAGCAGUGAAAUGCGUAGAUAUCGAGAGGAACACCAGUGGCGAAGGCGAGUCUCUGGACGACUCCUGACACUGAGGCAC